AUUGAACGCUGGCGGCAGGCCUAACACAUGCAAGUCGAGCGGCAGCGGGAAAGUAGCUUGCUACUUUUGCCGGCGAGCGGCGGACGGGUGAGUAAUGCCUGGGGAUCUGCCCAGUCGAGGGGGAUAACAGUUGGAAACGACUGCUAAUACCGCAUACGCCCUACGGGGGAAAGGAGGGGACCUUCGGGCCUUUCGCGAUUGGAUGAACCCAGGUGGGAUUAGCUAGUUGGUGGGGUAAUGGCUCACCAAGGCGACGAUCCCUAGCUGGUCUGAGAGGAUGAUCAGCCAGACUGGAACUGAGACACGGUCCAGACUCCUACGGGAUGCAGCAGUGGGGAAUAUUGCAAAAUGGGGGAAGCCCUGAUGCAGCCAUGCCGCGUGUGUGAAGAAGGCCUUCGGGUUGUAAAGCACUUUCAGCGAGGAGGAAAGGUUGUUGGCUAAUACCCAGCAACUGUGACGUUACUCGCAGAAGAAGCACCGGCUAACUCCGUGCCAGCAGCCGCAGUAA
This 508-nucleotide ribosomal RNA is filed under the name uncultured bacterium. RNAcentral describes it as "partial 16S ribosomal RNA". It matches the Rfam family "Bacterial small subunit ribosomal RNA", at positions 30 to 523 of the family's 1533-position model. The record is from RNAcentral.